UGCCAGCCACCGCGGUUAUACGAGAGACCCUAAUUGAUAAAAACGGCGUAAAGCGUGGUUAAGAAAAUAAAAAGAUACGGCCGAACAGAUUCAAAGCAGUUAUACGCAUUCGAAACAACGAAGACCAAGCACGAAAGUUGCCCUAAAAAACUCUGACCCCACGAAAGCCAUAAAACAAACUGGGAUUAGAUACCCCACUAUGUAUGGUCGUUAACAUUGAUGAUUUUAUACCCGAAUCAUCCGCCUGGGAACUACGAGCAAUAGCUUAAAACCCAAAGGACUUGGCGGUGCUUUAGACCCCCCUAGAGGAGCCUGUUCUAGAACUGAUAACCCCCGUUUAACCUCACCACCCUUUGUUUACCCCGCUUAUAUACCACCGUCGUCAGCUUACCCUAUGAAGGGAAAAUAGUAAGCAUAAAUGGCAAAGCCAAAAACGUCAGGUCGAGGUGUAGCGCAUGGGGCGGGAAGAAAUGGGCUACAUUCUCUGCCAUAGAGAACACGAAUUGUAAUUUGAAAAAAUUACCUGAAGGAGGAUUUAGCAGUAAGUGAAGAAUAGAGUGCCUCACUGAAAACGGCCCUGAAGCGCGCACACACCGCCCGUCACUCUCUCCUAAUAAAACCUAAAUAUUACCUAAAAUGCUUUUUAUCACAAGGGGAGGCAAGUCGUAACAUGGUAAGCGUACCGGA
This 687-nucleotide ribosomal RNA is filed under the name Trisopterus luscus. Its description in RNAcentral is "partial 12S ribosomal RNA". It matches the Rfam family "Bacterial small subunit ribosomal RNA", at positions 506 to 1509 of the family's 1533-position model. Lineage: Eukaryota; Metazoa; Chordata; Actinopteri; Gadiformes; Gadidae. The record is from RNAcentral.